RNAcentral lists this ribosomal RNA (550 nucleotides) under uncultured bacterium. RNAcentral describes it as "bacterial SSU rRNA". It matches the Rfam family "Bacterial small subunit ribosomal RNA", at positions 355 to 896 of the family's 1533-position model. The record is from RNAcentral.
UAGGGAAUCUUCGGCAAUGGACGGAAGUCUGACCGAGCAACGCCGCGUGAGUGAAGAAGGUUUUCGGAUCGUAAAGCUCUGUUGUAAGAGAAGAACGAGUGUGAGAGUGGAAAGUUCACACUGUGACGGUAUCUUACCAGAAAGGGACGGCUAACUACGUGCCAGCAGCCGCGGUAAUACGUAGGUCCCGAGCGUUGUCCGGAUUUAUUGGGCGUAAAGCGAGCGCAGGCGGUUAGAUAAGUCUGAAGUUAAAGGCUGUGGCUUAACCAUAAUAGGCUUUGGAAACUGUUUAACUUGAGUGCAAGAGGGGAGAGUGGAAUUCCAUGUGUAGCGGUGAAAUGCGUAGAUAUAUGGAGGAACACCGGUGGCGAAAGCGGCUCUCUGGCUUGUAACUGACGCUGAGGCUCGAAAGCGUGGGGAGCAAACAGGAUUAGAUACCCUGGUAGUCCACGCCGUAAACGAUGAGUGCUAGGUGUUAGACCCUUUCCGGGGUUUAGUGCCGUAGCUAACGCAUUAAGCACUCCGCCUGGGGAGUACGACCGCAAGGUUG